UGGACUGGCUUUAAAAUGAGCUUUAAUGGCUCCAAAUAAUUUUGUGGAAGUAGCUUAAAGGGGAAUAGUCACAUGACAGCCACUCCAGAAUGUUUCCUAUAAGUCACUUGGGACUUAUUAAUGACUUCAAGUCAAGCGCAAAGCUUCAUAGGACAUAUUUGACACAUUUAAAAGUGUUUCCGGUGAUGCCUUCAAAGGACGGGACCAAGCCACGAAAUAUUUGCCUGAGAGUCUUCCGCCAUCUACUGGUAGAAAUUGAGUACAGCAUGGCUUCCCUGCAUCAUACUGUGCUGUUCAUAGUAUUCCUGCUACUUCAUUUACAGUACCUACUUCAAAUAAAUAGCAGAGGCAGUUGGUGUUCAGCUCUUUUUGGUUAUGGCCAUAAUAUUUUGACCUGAUUCUCAUAAUAUUACAACUUUUCCCCCAACCUAUUUUUCCAAAAAUUGCAACUUUAUUUUGUCUUUUUUAUUUUAUUUUUUACUUUAUGCUACUAACAAGACGUUUUUUUUUCCUAGUAAUGUAAAAUUGCCGUUGAUUUUUACAUUUUUGCUGGGUUUUUUUUUUUGGUUUGUUUUUGUUAGUUUCGUCAUUAAAUUAUAUUUUUUUAGAAUGUGCAGCGAGCCAAUAAAAAUAUAGACGGGGGCUGCAAAUGGAUUAGCUCCGCCUCCAUUGCAGCAGCCAGCCUAUAGCGACCGUCUUCCGCCCACUUCCGUGUCACAAAGCCAAAACAAGCGUGUCUGUCGUCUGGGACUUCCUGUCGUUGUGAGAGUGAUACAAGUUUUGCACACUGCAAAGCACGCCUUAAAAAACUUUCAUUUUGGUGCGUCGGGCACUUGGCAGGGUGUGGUGACUUUUCCCGACUCGCGAUGUGAUGUAAUUAGCGAAAACGCGGGACACGCGCCCGUGAUAGCUGGAACUGUGGUUGUAUUCGUCCGGAGUGGAUGGCCGGUGUCGAGGCGGUGGCCGGUGUACACCGGCGGCGGUGGAUGAAAAAGUAGACCGGCCGUAGCAGCUUGUAUGACUGGUUGGGACCGAGGCGUCACAUGGUUUCAAGUUCUACGCGAUUCCACAUUUAAUUGGCCAAUUCCGUGAUAUCACAGGGCCCUACAUUUCUGUGAAAAACGGCUCCGUUUAUGUUUACAUGUGCCAACAAGCAAUUGCUCCUUUCGGUUUCCAUUUCGGUUGUGUCGACAACGGCGUAUGUCGGAGUCAGCCGGUGGAUUCUUCUUUUGAAAAUCCCCCAAAUUGACAUAACAAUGUGAGAAUGUUCGUAGCUCAAAAAGAGGUUACGUUAAAUGUGACUUUUUUGUGUCUUUCCUGCAGCUAUUUAUGAUGCCAGACUUUUUUGGUUGUUUUUCAUAGCUUCUCAUUUCUUUCUUUGGAAAGCGGCCAAGGCCAUUAUUUCAUAAUCUCAGCGGGUGUUACAAAUUGUGUUGCGUAGCAACUAAUCAUCCUUUUUGCCUAAUCGUAGAAGUAUUUCUGCACGGUUUCCUAGAUGUUAUAUAUCUGGGGGACAGCAUUGAGUGCUUUUUUUAUGUGAUCUCACACUGGAGGUAGUACCUUGUUAUCAUCAUUGACUACAUUUACAUGCCGUCAAAUAACCCUAUCAUAACCGGAAUAUUAGCAAUAACCCGCUUGCGCACGGCCAUGUAAACACCAAAAACCCAUUGGCAUUGUGUAGUACUAGUUACAUAGUUACACUACACUACUAAGUACAAGUUACGCUAUUUUUCUGGCUUUUGUUUCUGCAUAGCUUCUUGAUAUUUUUUUGUUGAAGGGAAUAGAAGCUAGUACUUCACACGAGAUCAUUGCUACUACAAAGCAAGCUGUAUAAGAUACUAAUACAAAUAUAAAUAUGAAAAAUAGGGAUGCUCCGAUCGAUUGGCCACUGAUCAAAAUCGGCGGAUUUCCAUGAAACGGCACGUUAUCGGCACGUGCCGAUAAAUGCCUUUCAACGGCGAUCACAAAACCCGAUCACCUGUGGCUCGUACUAUUGCAGCAUGCAGCCUGCAGCGAGCGUCUCCCGCCCACUUUCCUUCACACUGCGCAGACGCGGCAAACCCGAAACAAUCAUGUCUGCCGUGUGGGACUAACCUGUUGUUUGUGAGAGUGAUAUCAAUUUUGCACCCUGCAAAACAUGCCACGAAAAAUAUCUCACGGGAUAGCGUGUCAACAAUCUUUAAUAUAAUACAGCAAUUGAAGAACAAACACUUGACGUAGUAUGGUGAGUUUUCGAGGCCCAAGAUGUGAUCAACAGUCUAAAGGCAGCUAGUAUACAAUGCUUGCACGUACUGUAUGUGCGUGACAAUCUGAAGCAAAUAACCCGAAAAUAAUUGAAUUCACCGGACAAGAUGAGCAGCCUCUCUCAGCGGUGGAAGACACUGGGACUGCGCUUUCACUUGGAGGUGAUUUUAUGGUUCCCUUUUUCAUAUCACAUAGCCAAUAGCAGGGGUGCAACCAGGAAUUAUGGGCAAAAAAUCAUCUGGGGAUGGCCGCAUCAGCGACCGCCGUUUGACGACCCUGCACCACCUGAAGCGCCAGUGUUCCAAAUUGUUGUUUUCAAUAAAUUACUUUUUCAAAAUGA
This is a long non-coding RNA of Dunckerocampus dactyliophorus (ringed pipefish), 2584 nucleotides long. RefSeq lists it as uncharacterized. The transcript has 2 exons. Lineage: Eukaryota; Metazoa; Chordata; Actinopteri; Syngnathiformes; Syngnathidae. The record is from RefSeq and is a predicted model, not a curated record.